RNAcentral lists this transfer RNA (85 nucleotides) under Chamaesiphon minutus PCC 6605. RNAcentral's name for it is "tRNA-Ser (TGA) (tRNA-Ser-TGA-1-1)". It matches the Rfam family "tRNA". From Rfam's summary of the family: Transfer RNA (tRNA) molecules are approximately 80 nucleotides in length. Their secondary structure includes four short double-helical elements and three loops (D, anti-codon, and T loops). Further hydrogen bonds mediate the characteristic L-shaped molecular structure. tRNAs have two regions of fundamental functional importance: the anti-codon, which is responsible for specific mRNA codon recognition, and the 3' end, to which the tRNAs corresponding amino acid is attached (by aminoacyl-tRNA synthetases). tRNAs cope with the degeneracy of the genetic code in two manners: having more than one tRNA (with a specific anti-codon) for a particular amino acid; and 'wobble' base-pairing, i.e. permitting non-standard base-pairing at the 3rd anti-codon position. The record is from Rfam by way of RNAcentral. RNAcentral also lists the same sequence under 1 other name. Lineage: Bacteria; Bacillati; Cyanobacteriota; Cyanophyceae; Gomontiellales; Chamaesiphonaceae.
GGAAAGGUGGCAGAGUGGUCGAUUGCGUCCGACUUGAAAUCGGAUGAAGCGCAAGUUUCCGUGAGUUCGAAUCUCACCCUUUCCG